CGGCAAUUCUCCGUUUUUUAGGUAGUUUUUGGAUGUGAAUUAGGCUUAUCUAUCUACGUAAACAGUUUUCUAUUUAUGUAGCAUGUAUAAGUAACCCAUAUUGAUGUGUUAUAUCCAAGAUGUUGGGAUUGAGUUAUUUCCAUUGAACCGUUUUCCACCGACAUCUCGAGAAGGGCUAUUAACAUUCCACAUCGUGUGGUUGUAGUGUCCUUGAGCAAUAUAUACGUGAUGUGGUAAUCUUCCACUUUUGAAUUAGUUUUUGCAUGUAAGUUAAGCAUAUCACUAAUAUAGAUUACUCAUAAUAAAGAACAAUAACAACUAGGAAAUCAGUAAAGGAAAUGAUUUUUUACAUAGUAUUUGAUUUUUAUUAAUUAUAAUGUGAAACUAUAAUUAAUUCCUAUAAGUUGUUACUACUAUUUUCAUUAUUUUGGAUGGAAACAGACAGAUUAUGAAUACUAUAAGAAGUACUUAUUUUUUAUGGAGGAAUAACUGAACUUUAGUAAACUAACAAGGCAUGAUAUGUAGCAUGGAAUUAAACUUUAAUAUAAAACUAACUAGUUGUGUUUUUCAAACUAAUAUAAUGGCUUGAUUAAUGUAGUAUGGGAUUAAGUUUGAA
RNAcentral lists this long non-coding RNA (616 nucleotides) under Brassica napus (rape). Its description in RNAcentral is "long non-coding RNA (BNAP_LNC016806)". Lineage: Eukaryota; Viridiplantae; Streptophyta; Magnoliopsida; Brassicales; Brassicaceae. The record is from RNAcentral.